AUGACAAGCACUUUGAAAAGAGGGUGAAAAGGACCUGAAACUGUUACGAGGGAAGCGGAUCGCGUUGGAGAAUAAAUGCAUGCUCAGCCCGUAAGGGUGUAUUCGUGUGUUUGUAGAACAUUCGUGGCUUUUCGACAACUGAAUUUGAGUUGUUGGAGGGUGAGGGAUCUCCUUUAUGGAUAUGAGGACGAAUGAUCGUCAACGCGAUACGACCCGUCUUGAAACACGGACCAAGGAGUCUAGCACAGGUGCGAGUCGAAGGGUGUGAAAACCUGAGGGCGCAGUGAAAGCGAUCUGAUAUAUUUAUUUAUAUCCCAAAACGAUCAGUUUGAGGCGGCAUAAAAUCGUUGAUUUUAGGUCCGACCUGGAGCAGUUGUGCUGGGACCCGAAAGAUGGUGAACUAUACCGGAGUAGGGCAAAGCCAGAAGAAAUUCUGGUGGAGGCUCGUAGCGGUGCUGACGUGCAAAUCGCUCGUCGAACUUGGGUAUAGGGGCGAAAGACUCAUCGAACCAUCUAGUAGCUGGUUCCCUCCGAAGUUCUC
Molecule: ribosomal RNA, 541 nt
Filed under: Champia sp. 1TAS
Lineage: Eukaryota; Rhodophyta; Florideophyceae; Rhodymeniales; Champiaceae
Description: partial 28S ribosomal RNA
Rfam family: Eukaryotic large subunit ribosomal RNA
Source: RNAcentral